Molecule: non-coding RNA, 199 nt
Filed under: Acidaminococcus fermentans
Lineage: Bacteria; Bacillati; Bacillota; Negativicutes; Acidaminococcales; Acidaminococcaceae
Description: T-box sequence
Rfam family: T-box leader
About the family: Uncharged tRNA acts as the effector for transcription antitermination of genes in the T-box leader family. T-boxes are found upstream of many aminoacyl-tRNA synthetase genes and some amino acid biosynthetic genes usually in Gram-positive bacteria.
Source: RNAcentral
UCAGAGGCUGUGACGGGAAGGAGUACAGCGCCCCUUGCAUCGGCAGAGAGGAUGCGGUUGGUGGAAGCAUCCGGGCAAUGCGCUGGAAGUCGUCCCUGAGCCGGCAGGAGGAAAGACCUGCCCGUUUCGGCACGUUACGCCUUUGAGGUGCUCAAGCAAUUGAGAAUGUAGGUGGUACCGCGAACAACUCGUCCUAUAC